AGCGAUUAAUGGCGGGUUAAUGCGUGAUUUAUUAGCCAUUAAUGACGGCGUUAAUUGGUAGUUAAUUAGCCAUUAGUGGCGGCGUUAUUUGGUGGUUAAUUAGAUAUUAAUGGCGGCGCUAAUUGGUGAUUAAUUAGUGAUUAAUGGUGGCGUUAAUUAACGAUUUAUUAGCGAUUAAUGGGAAAUGUAGGAGAGCGAUAAUUAAUGAUUAAUAAGCGGUUCAUAGCGGCGUUAAUUAAGGAUUAAUAAGCGGUUAAUGACAGCGUUAAUUGGGGAGUAAGUAGAGAUUAAUGGCGGCGUUAAUUGGUGAUUUAUUAGCGAUUAUUGUUGGAGUUAAUUAAUGAUUAUUUAGUGAUUAAUGAUAGCGUUAAUUAACGAUUCAUUAGAGAUUAUUGAGAGGCUAAUGGCAGCGUUAAUUACUGAUUUAUUAGCAGUUAAUGACAGGGUUAUUGAAUUGUUAAUUAGCGAUUAAAGGGAGAUUAUUAACUGUGUUAAUUAAGGAAUAAUAGGUGGUUAAUUACAGCCUUAAUGACUGAUUAAUGAGUGACCAAUGGGAUAUUAAUGAGCAACUAAUGAGAGAUUAAUGGGGGAAAAAUUGGAAAUUUUGGGAGAAAAAUUUGGGAAUUUUGGGGGAAAAUUCUGGGGAUUUUGAGGGGAGGAAAUUUGGGAAUUUUUGGAGAAAAUCUUGGGAAUUUUGGGGGGGAAAAUUUGGGAAAUUUUGGGGCGGGAAAUUUGGGAAUUUUUGGAGGGAAAAAUUUGGGAAUUUGGGGGGAAAAUUUCGGAAUUUUGGGAGGGAAAAUUGGGAAUUUUGGAGAGAAAAUUUUGGGGGAAAAAAUUGAGAAUUUUGUGGGAAAAUUUUUGAGAAUUCUGGGGAAUCUCAGGGGGAAAAUUUUGGGAAUCUGAAAUUAAAAUUUAAUUAAAACAGGAAACGACGCGUUCAGGUGUGUCCAGGUGCGUUUAUUGCUCGGGGUGGGGCAGUGGGCGGGGCCACAUUUGCAUACCCGGGCCACGCCCACUCCUCACCUGGGGCUCAUUUGCAUACCCGGGCCACGCCCGUUUCACACCUGGGCCACACCCAUUCACACCUGGGAGCCAAUCAGAUGCUGGGAACAAUUUGCAGACCUGGGCCACGCCCACUCACAUCUGGGGAUCAUUUGCAUACCUGGGUCACGCCCACUGCACACACCAUGGCCACGCCCACUUCACACCUGGGCCACGCCCACUUCACAUUUGGGCAACGCCCAUUGCACGCCUGGGGCUCAUUUACAUACCUG
RNAcentral lists this long non-coding RNA (1274 nucleotides) under Junco hyemalis (dark-eyed junco). RNAcentral's name for it is "lncRNA (ENSJHYG00000012797.1)". The record is from RNAcentral. Lineage: Eukaryota; Metazoa; Chordata; Aves; Passeriformes; Passerellidae.